UGGCUCAGGAGUGAACGCUGUGCGGCGUGCCUACACAUGCAAGUCGAGCGAAGCGAUUUUCGAGGAAGUUUUCGGAUGGAAUUGGAAUUGACUGAGCGGCGGACGGGUGAGUAACGCGUGGGUAACCUGCCUCAUACAGGGGGAUAACAGUUAGAAAUGACUGCUAAUACCGCAUAAGCGCACAGGACCGCAUGGUCUGGUGUGAAAAACUCCGGUGGUAUGAGAUGGACCCGCGUCUGAUUAGCUGGUUGGUGGGGUAACGGCCUACCAAGGCGACGAUCAGUAGCCGACCUGAGAGGGUGACCGGCCACAUUGGGACUGAGACACGGCCCAAACUCCUACGGGAGGCAGCAGUGGGGAAUAUUGCACAAUGGGGGAAACCCUGAUGCAGCGACGCCGCGUGAGCGAAGAAGUAUUUCGGUAUGUAAAGCUCUAUCAGCAGGGAAGAAAAUGACGGUACCUGACUAAGAAGCCCCGGCUAACUACGUGCC
Molecule: ribosomal RNA, 491 nt
Filed under: uncultured bacterium
Lineage: Bacteria
Description: bacterial SSU rRNA
Rfam family: Bacterial small subunit ribosomal RNA
Source: RNAcentral